AUGCUUACCAGGAAAUCCUUCCCUCUGGAUUCCACAGCAUGUUUCUUAUGCAAUGAUGAUGAGAUGGAGGACAAAACACAUUUAUUAUUUUCAUGCUCUUUCAUCCAAAAUUUCUGGUGGAAUAUUGGUUUUGAAUGGAACACUGAUUUGACCAUUCAUGACAUGAUCUCUAAUGGCAAACUAAGAUAUAAUCUACCUUUCUUCAUGGAUAUUGUGACUGUGGGAUGCUGGAGUAUAUGGAAUCAGAGAAAUGAUUUGAUAUUUGAAGACAUACCAUGUUCCAUAUUCUCAUGCAAGUUUGACUUCAUCAAAACUUUCAAGCUCACCAUGCUGAGAGCCAAGCCUAGCCUCAAGGAUGGCAUGUCAUCCUGGAUAGACAACAUUUGA
RNAcentral lists this ribosomal RNA (387 nucleotides) under Triticum aestivum (bread wheat). RNAcentral describes it as "partial small subunit ribosomal RNA". The record is from RNAcentral. Lineage: Eukaryota; Viridiplantae; Streptophyta; Magnoliopsida; Poales; Poaceae.